GUUUCACCAUGUUGGCCAGGCUGGUCUCGAACUCCUGAACUCAGGUGAUCCACCUGCCUUGACUUCCCAAAGUGCUGGGAUUACGGGCAUGAGCCACCACGCCCAGCCUUUAUAUAUAAACUUUCAUGUAUGAAAUCAUAAUGUGGUUUCUUUGACGAGUUUUAUAACAUCACUCAUUCUGCAUGAUUUUAAAAAAUCAGCUUUACUGGGUUAUGAUUUACAUUAAAUGUACCCAUUUACCUGUACAGUUUGAUACACUUAGAUAAAUGUACACACCUGCAUUCUGUAUGAUUUGGGGGAGACAGGUGACCUGAGUUCAAUCCUAAACUGAUAAUUUACUAAUCAUGUGACCUUGGGCAAAUUACCUUAACUUCUGAAAGCCCUGGUAAAAAUCCCACUUGAUAAUAAAAUCGAGUCCAGGAUAAUAAAAUAAAAAUCAAGUGGGAGUACUUUUCACUCUGUAACCAACUACUGCUGAAUUAUUCUUUUCCUUUUUUUGGACAGUCUCACCCUGUCACCCAGGCUGGAGUGCAGUGUUGUGAUCUCUCCUGGGCUCAAGCGAUCCUCCCGUCUCAGCCUCCCAAGUAGCUGGGAUUACAGGCGUGCACCACCAUGCCCAGCCUGAGAUAGCUUCUGUAAUUAUUCUAGCACAAUGCUAAGCACUUGCAGCAGGUCACAAAAAAAAGAGGGGGACCGUGUGGGACUGAGAGUUCCAGAGCAAAAGCCACCUGAACUGAUAAGCAGGGAAGGAAGAGCUGAAGAGAGCAGCAGCACAAAUGCCCUGUAAAUUAACAACCACACGGCUCACAGGGGCACCCCGGCACCCACACACCAGGCCCUCCCCUGUCCCUCCCCAUCCCCACUGACUCCCGAUCCCUCCAAAGGAUACCAAGGAAUAACCUGGCCUGGGUGGCAGGAGGAUGCUGGGGAGGGAUCUACAAAACAUAUACAAAAGAGUUUGGGGUUUUUGUCUGAUAAUAACUACCUUUCAUUAUUUUCUGUGUGAGGCAUUGUGCUAAUGCCUUGUACUCAUUACCUCAUGCACUCCUCACAACAUUCCUUUAAAAUACUGUCUUCUGUUUACUAAUGAGAAACCCAAGUCUCAGAAAAGUUAAUUAGCCUGUUGGAAGUCAAAUAACUGGUACAUGAUGAGCUGAGAUGAACCUGGGAUCUCUGUGACUUCAGAGCCCUGCUCUUAACUACUUUGCUGGGGAGGUCGUUGGGGAGUGGGUGGAAGAAGGGGUUCAGAAGCCUUAGUCUGGGAGUCCAGGCAGAGGCAUGGGAAGGCCUCUGGGAAGUUGAGGAACCUAUUUGUUUACGUAACUCACUUCCGACCUUGCAGGGCCAAGGCUGGAACCAUCUAGUGUGGCACAGUCCCAGAGCACUUUUUGUGCCGAUGGAAUGUUCUCUGUGCUGUCUGACGUGGUGCCACUAGCUACUGGGGCCACUGAGAACUUGAAAUGUGUCUGCUGUGACCAAGGAAUGGAAUUUUUAAUUGUGUGCAUUAUAAUUAGUUUAAAUUUAAAUUUGAAAACUGAUACUGGAUUCAGUUAUUGGAAAAUUUUAAGUAUAUUUUGAACAACUUGCUGUAUAAAACUAAUUUUUCAAUUUUCAAUUUUAUGAAGUCUAAAUACAGAUAAAGUAUUUCUUUUCUUUUUUUUUGAGACAGUCUCACCAUGUCACCCAGGCUGGAGUGCAGUAGCAUGAUCUUGGCUCACUGCAAACUCUGCCUCCCAGGUUCAAGUGAUUCUCCUGCCUCAGCCUCUCAAGUAGCUGGGAUUAUAGGCCCGCCACCUCACCUGGCUAAUUUUUGUAUUUUUAGUAGAGAUGGGGUUUCACCCUGUUGGCCAGGCUGGUCUUGAACUCCUGACCUCAAGUGAUCCGCCCGCCUCAGCCUUCCAAAGUGCUGAGAUUACGGGCGUGAGCCACUGCACCCAGCCAGAUCAAGUAUUUCUGAUGAGAAUUUAGCAUCUGAAUUGAGAUUUGCCAUAAGUGUAAAAUAACUAGUGUUCAAAGACUUAGAUGAAAAAAAAACAUCAAAUAGCUCACUAAUAAUUUUUAAUUGACCACCUGUUGAAAUAAUAUUUUUGAUAUACUGCAUUAAGUAAACAUAUUAUUAAAAUUAGUUUCCCUUGUUUUUAGAAAAAAAUGUUCAAAUAUGGCUAUCAGAAACAAUUUAAUGAAAUACGUGGCUCACAUUAUAUUCUUUUGGAUGGUCUUGAUCUGAAGGCCGAGUUCUGGUAUUAACAGAAGUUCCACUUAGUGGUGGGGUUGGAGAGGCCUUUCCCCACCUUUUACUACUCCUUUUUUUUUUUUUUUUUUUUUUGAGACAUUGUCUGUUUUUUACUCCACUUCUGUCACCCAGGCUAGAGUAAAGUGGUGUAAUCUUGGCUCACUGCAACCUCCACCUCUGGGGCUCUAGCAGUCCUCUCACCUCAGCCUCCCCAGUAACUGGGACCACAGGCGUGACCCACCAUGCCUGGCCAAUUUUUGUAGUUUUUGUAGAGAUGGAGUUUCACCAUGUUUCUCAGGCGGGUCUUGAACUCCUGGCCUCGAACUCCUGGCCUCAAGUGAUCCUCCCACCUUGGCCUCCCAAAAUGCUGGGAUUACAGGUAUAAGCCACCCUGACUGGCCUCAGAGAUUAAUUUUAAAAGAGAGCAGAGGUCAUGUGGAUGCUUCACAUAAAGGAGUGACUCACUGACAUUGGAUUCCAGGCCUCUGGGAGGGAAGGAUUUGGCCUUCCAGGAAUCUGUAUUGAGAGCUAUCUAUUGGUAGGUACCCCUGAUACCCUUACUUCUUAGAUAUCUAGGAUUGUCCCAAUGUAUAUGUUCUGACCAUGUAAGUACUCAUGCUUGUCCAAUCUUGAAUCCCAUUUUAAGCUUCCAAAAUGCGCAUAUGUAGGGAAUGAUCAGUUCUGCUUCUGUAUUAUGCUGCUCUCCUUAUUCCUGAAAAUGGUCCUUCAACCCUCAGCAGAGGUUGCAGGAUGCCUGCAGCUGCAAACCUGUCUUGCUCAUGCUGCAAAACAGAGAUGUCAUCACCGGGUGAGAAACUAAAACACUGAAGAUGGCACUUUCCAAAGUUUCUGCUUUCUGAAGCCCACAUUAUAAGGUCAUGUGCUAAAAUACCUUAUGUAGUAGCCUUGAUUCUAGAGCAAAUUAGCCUCAGUCUCUUUAUAUGUAAAUUGGGAGAAAUAACAGAGAGAGAAGAGACUCAUAUUGUUGCUUGGAGGACUAAAUGAAUUCAUAUAUGUAAAGUGCUUAGCCCAUUAUUUAGAACAUAAUAAACCAUCAACUCACUCUAUAUUAACUAUCAAUAUAAAAUAGGUGUAGGAUACUUCUAAAUGUGUGUCAGAACUUAUUUGGUCACACGUGAUAGACAGCUGAUUCCAAUUAAAAUGUUUAUUGGAAACAUACCGGACUUCUUACCCAAUAUUAGAAAAGAUUAGAAAAAUCAAACCCAGGAGAGCUGGGUACAGCUGGACCUUAGAGCUCUGAUACUGCAGGCACUUUUUUUUUUUGAGACAGAGUUUUGCUCUUGUUGCCCAGGCUGGAGUGCAAUGGUGCCACCUGGGCUUAUCGCAACCUCCACCCCUCAGGUUCAAGUGAUUCUCCUGCCUCAGCCUCCCAAGUAGCUGAGAUUACAGGCGCCCGCCACCAUGCCCAGCUAAUUUUGUAUUUUUAGUAGAGACAGGGUUUCUCCAUGUUGGUCAGGCUGGUCUCGAACUCCCAACCUUAGGUGAUCCGCCUGCCUUGGCCUCCCAAAAUACUGGGAUUACAGGCGUGAACCACCAUGCCCAGCCACUACAGGCACUUUCUGUCUCCUCUCUGUGCAUCUGUGUGUGUUGGUUUCUUUCUCAUUCACUGCAGAUGGGAGUCCUCAUAUGGCCAGAAACCAACAACUACCAAGGCUAUCUCUUGCAACUUCCUGCACUAGAGAGAUGUUCUUCUCGACUAUAGUUUAAACAACAACAACAACAACAACAACAACAACAGCCAGGGGAAGGACUAUGAGUGGCCCAGCCUGGGCAUUCAUCCUUAUACAAGUUCAACUUUGACCAUGGGAAUCAGGACAUAUAAGAGCAUGAUUGCUCCUGUUGGAAUCCCGUGGUUGCGGUUGGGGAUUUGGGUAACAAGUUCCCAAACAUAAGGGAGGGUGCUGAGUGGCCGCUUGCCGUACUCAGUCAUUGGCUGGGACUGCAGGAGUGGGGAAAAGCAUGGCCUCAGCUCAAAUACUGCAGCGGGUCCCAAAGGUGCUGCAACUGGAGGCUGUCAGCUGACCACUCUCCUUGCAGCUGAUCAUUCAGUUCUUUCUUGAAGGGAAAUGCAAACAGUGCACCUAUCUGUGGUUGCCAUGAGCCACCCCUUGUGCCCAUUCAUGAGAGCUCUGCCUUCAUGAUCUAACCACCUCCCAAAGACCAUACCCCCUAACACCAUCACCCUGGGGGUUGGGGUUUCAACAUAGGAAUUUAGGAGAACACAAACAUUCAGCCUAUAGCACCUGGAUCCCCUGGUCAGAUGCUAUAUUGUAUGAGAUUCCAUGCCUGUGGAUCAAGCACUCUAUAAACCCCUGGAUAGUGGUAAUGGCUGCAGCUCUGAGGACAGAGACAGCAAAUCCAUACUCGAAUCAGUGUCUGUUUAUCUGAGAAUGACACUCUGCCUCUCCAGGACAGAAGGGGCCCAAUUAGUCAACGUAUUGCUAGUGAGUCUCCUCCAGGAAUGGAGCUGCGUCAGGGCUGAACGUUGCUCUCUGUUGCUGCGAGGUUGGAUAUUCAAAGGCAGCAAUGGCAAGGUCAGAUUUGGUCAGUGAAGUCCAUGCUUUUGGGUCCACACGUAGCCUCUGUCUCUGCCACUGCGGCCACCCCCUUCACCUGCCCAUUGUCCCCAUUCCAAUGACAAAGCUUGUAUUUGUACAUUGAGCUGACCCACCAGUACACGAAGCAUAGGAGUUUCUUCCUCCGUCAGUUGGUCAUGAUGUUCCCCAGGGCCACGGGUGUGAGCUGAGGUAGGGACACUAGUGCCCUUAUCAGGCCCAAAUGUCCCCAGUAAAGUUAUGCUGGGAUUACCCCGAAUUAUCGAGCUGGCAGCCAGGAGAGAAAGUGGGCACAGCUUCUCAGAGGGACACCAGUUGCCUGGAGGGAAGAGGCCUCUGCAGUGUAUUUUUGCACAGGGAGGGGUGGGCCACCUAUGCAGAUUCUGGGGGUACUGGGGAGUCUGCAGAUACACCAUCUUUCAGGGCAUCCACCCAGAUUUUCCCAUCCUAUGUUUCAGGGCCCCAGAUGUUCCCAUCCGGGGCACAACAGACCUGAAUGCUCAGAAAGACAUUCAGCCAUUUUGGGGAACUUUGACCCUGACUCUCAGAUCCUGAGUUUGUUCCUUAGUUGUGCUAGCUCUUUCACCCUGUAAACUGCUGAAGAGACCGUCUGUUUCUCACACUUAGCCAUAACUGUUUGUUGACUGCCCUCUGUUUGCAAUGCUUCCUCUGUAGCAGGGAUCCCCAACUCCCGGGCCACGGACCCGUGGGCUGCACAGAAGGAGGUGAAGGCAGGCGAGUUAUUACCGCCAGCUCUGCCUCCUGUCAGGUCAGCGGCAUUAGAUACUCAUAGUAGUGCAAACCCUAUUGUGAACCGUGCAUGUGAGGGAUCUAGGUUGCACAGUCCUUAUGAGAAUCUAACUCCUGAUGAUCUGUCACUGUCUCCCAUCACCCCAGAUGGGACAGCUAGUUGUAGGAAAACAAGCUCAGGGCUCCCACUGAUUCUACAUUAUGGAGAGUUGUAUAAUUAUUUCAUUAUAUAUUACAAUGUAAUAAUAAUAGAAAUCAAGUGCCCAAUAAAUGUAAUGCACUUGAAUCAUCCUGAAACCUUCCCCUACCCCACCCCAGUCUGUGGAGAAACGGUCUUUCACAAAACUGGUCACUGGUGCCAAAAAGGUGGGGGACUGCUGUUCUGUAGGAUGUCAAUGCAGCUUUUGAGCAAUCAGCUCACUCCAUCUUUCCUGUGUGAGGUGCCUCCCCUCCCCCAGGCCCCCAUGCUUUCCAGGGCUUGAAUCCUAUCACUAGCCAGUGUAUUCUCCACUGGGAUGUCACUCUCAAGUCACUACUGAUAGUAUUUUUAGCAACUGGGAUAGCCCUUGUGACUGGGACUAUCCCUGCCCACAUACCACUUGGGAUGCGGUUCUCCUUGCCAGCUGGGAGCACGCGGUCCAGUCCCCAAACAGAGCUUGUUGUUUCUGACUGCCUUCAGGACCAACUGUGCUGAUGGGUUCUUAGGGAGGCAGACAUCAAGGCAAAGUUAGAAGGGCAAGAGAUUCGUUGUGGGUAGUAUCUGGUAAAGGACGAGGGAAAAGGAGUGGGAGUAGUCGGAGAAAGUCUCUAGGCCAUGGUGCAGGUCUGACACCUGUAAACGCAGAGGAGAAAGGAAGGAGGGUUGAGCAGGAAGAGCCUCAGGUCGAGGUGUAGCUCUGAGAAAAUCCUAGAGGAGUGCCAUGCUGGGCUGUGCUCAGACACUGGCUGGGAGCUUUCUGGGAAGAAAAUGGAUGUGGUGUGUAGGGACUAGAAGGAGGCAGGAGAUGGUUUUGGUAAUGAUCUGUUUCUUAAUCUGGGUUUUAUGUGUGUGUUCAUUUUAUAAAUUUUUAUCAAGCUCAUUUUUGACAUGUGAACUUUACAUAUGCUAUAUUUCAAUUUUCUAAAAGUCAUGAGUCUCUGCCUUUGGCUUCCAAAUAGCCUUAAUAAAGAAACUUAAUUAGGAUUUUGAAACCCAAACCCUAGGUGGGGAUAGUCUCAUACUGAAAAAACAAAUUUGUGGCCAGGCGUGGUGGCUCACUCCUGUAAUCCCAGCACUCUGGGAGGCUGAGGAGGGUGGAUCACCUGAGGUCAGGAGUUCAAGACCCACCUGGCCAACAUGGUGAAACCCUGUUUCUACUAAAAAUACAAAAAUUAGCUGGCCAUGGUGGCAUAUGCCUGUAUUCCCAGCUACUGGAGAGGCUGAGGCAGGAGAAUCGGUUGAACCCAGGAGGUGGAGGUUGCAGUGAGCCAAGAUCACACCACUGCACUCCAGCCUGGGCGACACAACAAGACUCCGUCUCAAAACAACAACAACAAAACAAACUGGUGAUAUACCCAAAGGAUCUUAGAAAUAUAUAAGCCAAUUUCUGUGAAUUUAUUAUCUGGAAUAAACCACACAAUGUAUAACGUCUUAAGUACAAAGAUGUUCAUUAUUACAUUGCUUAUAGUCGUGAACACUUGGAAAUAUCAUAAGUUUCCAUCAGUACAGAAACUACUGAAUAAAUCAUGGGAUGCAAUACAGUGGGAUACCAUGAAACAGUUGAAAAUAAUGAUGAGAAUCUAUAUUUCAUGGCAUGGGAGUAUGUUCAUGAUAUAACAUGAAUAAAUGAAAAGAAAGCACAAAUAUAUGCUUAAUAUGAUCCAUUUUACUAAAAAUGUUUCAAAAGCAUGUUUUUAUAGUUAGAAGAAAGACUGAGUAUUCUACAUAAAACAUGAAUAGUGCUUAUCUUUGGACAGUAUCUUAAAAAUGAUUAUUAUUUUCUGUAUCCUUUUAAUGUUUAAUGUUUCUGUUUUUUAUGAUGAAAAUUUAAUUCAGUUGCUCCCUGACUUAUGAUGGGGUCAUAUCCUGAUGAACCCAUCAUAUGUUGAAAAUAAGUCAAAAAUGCAGUUAAGACACCUAACCUAGGCUGGGCGCAGUGGGUGACACCUGUAAUCCCAGCACUUGGGGAGGCCGAGGGAGGUGGAUCAUGAGGUCAGGAGUUUGGGAGCAGCCUGGCCAACAUAGUGAAACCCUGUCUCUAUUCUGUACUAUUAAAAGUACAGAAAUUAGCCAGGUGUGGUGGUGGGCGCCUGUAGUCCCAACUACUUGGGAGGCUGAGGCAUGAGAAUCACUUGAACACGGGAGGUGGAGGUUGCAGUGAGUUGAGAUCAGGCCACUGUACUCCAGACUGGGCGACAGAGUGAAACUCUGUCUCAAAAAAAAGAAAAGAAAAGAAAAAAAAGACACCUAACCUCCUAAACAUUAUAAACCAGGUUAUGCGAUAUUUUAGGGUAGGGAAUUAAAGCUUACUCAUCCAUGUCCACCCAUUGUCUUUCACAUUACCUAGGAUAUGAGAUAGAAGUUCCAUUUGUAUUAGUUGGCCAAAAAGGAAUUAAUUCAUGAAUAAUAAAUGAAUGAAAAAAUGAAUGCUAGGUGAGUCAUUGAUAUGACUAUUGAUAUUUUAACCAGCUUACCCUUUUGUAUUUAAGUAAUAUAGUGCCUUUCACUUAAAAUCCAAAGGGUAAGCUGGUUAAAAUAUCAAUAGUCAAGACUUUGUAAAAUAUUUUUUUUCCUCGACUUAUCAUCACUCUGAAAACCCCACUGAAGGAUUUUCUUUCCACCCUUGCAACUCUGGGCUCCGCACAGCUGAAGGGCCUGGUAAGGGAGUGCACUCUUGCCAGGGGACACAGUGAACUACAAAUAUGGCUGUCACCUUUGGAGUCCUUGGAGUGUCCUAUGGAUACUUUGGAGUCCUUGUGUCCAGGAGCCAGGAGACAAACAGAGGAGUCACCAUCUUGGCAGAGGUCAUUGUCCCUGAUCAGCAGGUGGAGGCAGGGCUCCUGUUACACAGUGGGGAUGAGUACAAGGUAUUUGGAACCAGGGAGUAGUAUGGGCUGGCUACAGAAUUGGCAACGUCAUUUGCAAUCAUGUUUCAGCUGCCAUUUACAAGGUGAUGAUCCAUGAAUCCUUACCUCUUUCAUGAGUUUCAGGCAAAUAUUUUAAACAGCAAACUUGAUGGUGCGACCAAAAUGGUGAAACCAUGGUGAAACUCCGUCUCUACUAAAAUACAAAAAUUAGCCAGGUGUGAUGGUGCGCACCUAUAAUCCCAGCUACUCAGGAGGCUGAGGCAGGAGAACUGUUUGAACCCGGGGGGCAGAGGUUGCAGUGAGCCGAGAUGGCGCCAUUGCACUCCAGCCUGAGUGACAGAGCGAGACUCCAUCUCAAAAAAAAAAAAAGAGAUUGAGCUGGAAGGAUAAAAUAUAGAUAGAAAAUCUAUUCUGGGUCCUUUGAACAAUUAUUGAGCUACUAUGUUGAAUUUAUUAAUGAAAGCGAUUCCUUGUCAUUUAAUAUUUUUAUCUCCAUGGGCUGCCAAG
RNAcentral lists this long non-coding RNA (9132 nucleotides) under Homo sapiens (human). RNAcentral describes it as "HSALNT0032401". The record is from RNAcentral. Lineage: Eukaryota; Metazoa; Chordata; Mammalia; Primates; Hominidae.